This is a long non-coding RNA of Thalassophryne amazonica, 853 nucleotides long. RefSeq lists it as uncharacterized. The transcript has 3 exons. The record is from RefSeq and is a predicted model, not a curated record. NCBI's taxonomy places the organism in Eukaryota, Metazoa, Chordata, Actinopteri, Batrachoidiformes, Batrachoididae.
GGUCCACCUGUGAGGCAGACGUCUUGAAAAGGAAAGCAGGGGAAAUGCUCAAGCACACUGCGCCAGUGUUACCCGACACAGAGUGCCAACUGGAAAGCUGUACAAGUCAACAGUCGCACCAUUUAUGUGGGGAGGAGUGAAGCCAGCAGAGGAGUGACUCAGCAUGAGCCGGCUCUCAGCGCUCAUUAUGCACAAUCACUGGAGAGGAAACUCAACACCACAGCUGGAGGUUAUUUUCAUGUUAAAUAUCACAUUUCAGGCUCUCUGCUGAAUUCAAACCGCAUCUGUGUUUUUUUAAAUGCGGGGGGGAGCAGACACUUCAGAUGGGUACAGUACAGCGCACGGUGCACUCUGACCUCUGAGACCGUGGUCAGCAGCCCCGGUCAAAGGUUCUGUCAGCUCAGUGGAAAAAAAAAAAAAAAAGAAAAGAAAAAUCCAUUAUCUGAGGAGUCAGAGGCCGUCCUGCUCCACUAAAAAGGUGAAAGGUCGCCAGUGACAGCAGAGUGGUCACGUAGUCUUCACCUUAUUACUCCGUACAACAAACAAACUGGCUCCAUUUGCUUUCAACACUGCUGUUAUAUGAAGAGGCUGUUAAAGCUACAGUGUGCAGGAUUUAGGGGCGAUUGGCAGAAAUUAAAUACAGCAUUCUUAACCAUCUGUUCAUAAUUACCAACAAUAAAUCGAUGAGUUUUUAAUGAUCUUAGAAUAAGCCCUUCAUAUCUACAUGGAAGUGGUCUACAUAGACAAGAACACACAGUAGAGCGGACAGAGUCCGUCACCGAAGCAGCCAGGGACGAGUCGCUCGGACCGUCCUCUUGAGCCAGGGACUGAAUGACCGCAAUGUCAACAAAAU